RNAcentral lists this ribosomal RNA (254 nucleotides) under uncultured bacterium. RNAcentral's name for it is "partial 16S ribosomal RNA". It matches the Rfam family "Bacterial small subunit ribosomal RNA", at positions 524 to 776 of the family's 1533-position model. The record is from RNAcentral.
UACGUAGGCAGCAAGCGUUGUUCGGAGUUACUGGGCGUAAAGAGUAUGUAGGCGGUUGCGUAAGUUCGGUGUGAAAUCUCCCGGCUUAACUGGGAGGGUGCGCCGAAAACUGCGUGGCUUGAGUGCGGGAGAGGAGAGCGGAAUUCCUGGUGUAGCGGUGAAAUGCGUAGAUAUCAGGAGGAACACCGGCGGUGUAGACGGCUCUCUGGACCGUAACUGACGCUGAGAUACGAAAAGCGUGGGUAGCAAACAGG